RNAcentral lists this ribosomal RNA (459 nucleotides) under uncultured bacterium. RNAcentral's name for it is "partial 16S ribosomal RNA". It matches the Rfam family "Bacterial small subunit ribosomal RNA", at positions 29 to 523 of the family's 1533-position model. The record is from RNAcentral.
AAUGAACGCUGGCGGCAGGCCUAAAACAUGCAAGUCGAACGGUAACAGGUCUUCGGAUGCUGACGAGUGGCGCACGGGUGAGUAACACGUGGGAAUAUGCCUUUUGGUACGGAACAACAGUUGGAAACGACUGCUAAUACCGUAUGGUCCCUUCGGGGUAAAGAUUUAUCGCCAAAAGAUUAGCCCGCGCUGGAUUAGCUAGUUGGUAUGGUAAUGGCCUACCAAUGCUACGAUCUAUAGCUGGUCUGAGAGGAUGAUCAGCCACACUGGAACUGAGACACGGUCCAGACUCCUACGGGAGGCAGCAGUUAGGAAUAUUGGACAAUGGGCGCAAGCCUGAUCCAGCCAUGCCGCGUGAGUGAUGAAGGCCUUCGGGUUGUAAAGCUCUUUAGCCGACGAGUAUAAUGACUGUAGUCGGAAAAUAAGCCCCGGCUAACUUCGUGCCAGCAGCCGCAGUAA